Podarcis raffonei (Aeolian wall lizard) is the source of this 414-nucleotide long non-coding RNA. RefSeq lists it as uncharacterized. The transcript is spliced from 3 exons. Lineage: Eukaryota; Metazoa; Chordata; Lepidosauria; Squamata; Lacertidae. The record is from RefSeq and is a predicted model, not a curated record.
GCAAAAACAAGUGAGUGGUGGAGAAGAAGGAUGUGGCCCCUGCCCGACACCCAGUGUGAUGCAGAGCUCAGAAUGCUAUCUCAUGGUACCAGCAAGGAAAAAAGGCUGACGGCAGUUCUUGGUGAUCACAAGCCAUGCAGCAAUAAGAAGAAGGGCCCACCACAUCUUUAUACAUUACUGACAUAGUCUGCCCUUCAAAUAUAUGCGUUGAUGCCAGUUGUGGAUCAGAGAGGAGGGGUUGACAGGGUACAAAGCUGAGUCCAGCUAUGAAUAAAUAGAAGGAAGGAGGUGCAAGAAUAUUCAGAAGUCUCAAUGCAGGGGACCAAAAGGAUCGAAGGCAUCAGCAUCAUAUCCAUUACGAAUUGGAUUCGCCGAGUGCAUCGUCAAGUAGCCUUUCCAAAAAGAUACUUGAGC